GUGCUCACUUCAGCAGCACAUAUACUAAAAAAUUGGAAUGAUACAGAGAAGAUUAGUAUGGCCCCUGCACAAGGAUAAAAUGCAAAUUUGUGAAGCAUUCCAUAUUAAA
Small nuclear RNA from Ailuropoda melanoleuca (giant panda), 109 nucleotides. NCBI's taxonomy places the organism in Eukaryota, Metazoa, Chordata, Mammalia, Carnivora, Ursidae. The record is from Ensembl.